GGGGUGCUCGAGUGGCGAACGGGUGAGUAACACGUGAGUAACCUGCCCUUGACUUUGGGAUAACUUCAGGAAACUGGGGCUAAUACCGGAUAGGAGCUCCUGCUGCAUGGUGGGGGUUGGAAAGUUUCGGCGGUUGGGGAUGGACUCGCGGCUUAUCAGCUUGUUGGUGGGGUAGUGGCUUACCAAGGCUUUGACGGGUAGCCGGCCUGAGAGGGUGACCGGCCACAUUGGGACUGAUAUACGGCCCAG
Molecule: ribosomal RNA, 249 nt
Filed under: uncultured Actinomycetales bacterium
Lineage: Bacteria; Bacillati; Actinomycetota; Actinomycetes; Actinomycetales
Description: partial 16S ribosomal RNA
Rfam family: Bacterial small subunit ribosomal RNA
Source: RNAcentral